RNAcentral lists this ribosomal RNA (404 nucleotides) under Actinomycetes bacterium. Its description in RNAcentral is "Actinobacteria bacterium partial 16S ribosomal RNA". It matches the Rfam family "Bacterial small subunit ribosomal RNA", at positions 355 to 776 of the family's 1533-position model. The record is from RNAcentral. Lineage: Bacteria; Bacillati; Actinomycetota; Actinomycetes.
UGGGGAAUAUUGGACAAUGGGCGCAAGCCUGAUCCAGCCAUGCCGCGUGAGAGAUGAAGGCCCUAGGGUUGUAAAGCUCUUUCACCGGCGAAGAUAAUGACGGUAACCGGAGAAGAAGCCCCGGCUAACUUCGUGCCAGCAGCCGCGGUAAUACGAAGGGGGCUAGCGUUGUUCGGAUUUACUGGGCGUAAAGCGCACGUAGGCGGACUUUUAAGUCAGGGGUGAAAUCCCGGGGCUCAACCCCGGAACUGCCUUUGAUACUGGAAGUCUUGAGUAUGGUAGAGGUGAGUGUAAUUCCGAGUGUAGAGGUGAAAUUCGUAAAUAAUCGGAGGAACACCAGUGUCGAAGGCGGCUCACUGGACCAUUACUGACGCUGAGGUGCGAAAGCGUGGGGCGCAAACAGG